GGUAGAAUUUAAAGUUGGUUUCAAAACAAAAUAUAUUAUCUGGGCUGAUUCUGAAGGUGUUUGAUUUUAAGUUUUGGAUAUAUUUUAGAUAUUGAAGUCUAAUCUUCGAGAAAUCAAACGGUUCAUUAUUUGGACUCUCCCACGACAAGUUAUGAAUCUUUUGUUACAAGCGCGUAAAACUGAAAAUUAUACGACUAAGAUAAAAGUCGGACAAUGUAAAGCAAAAGAGAAGCUGAAAUAUUUAAGCCCUCGAAGUCUUCAAGUUCGUCGGUAUUCAAGUUGAAGUCUCCAAGUUGAAAUCUUCAAGUCCGUCGGUCUUGAAGUUGAAGUCUCUAUGUUCGCCACUCUUCAAGUUGAAAUAUUUAAGCCCUCCAAGUCUCCAAGUUGAAGUCUUCAAGUCCGUCAGUCUUCAAGUUGAAAUCUCCAAGAUGAAAUCUUCAAGUCCGUCGGUCUUCAAGUUGAAGUCUCCACGUUCGCCACUCUUCAAGUUGAAAUAUUUAAGCCCUCCAAAUCUUCAAGUUGAAGUCUUCAAGUCUGCUAAUUUUUCAAGUUGAAUUUUAAAAGUCAACCACUCUUCGAGUUGAAGUCUGCAAAGUCCGCCAAAUCUUCAAAGUUUUUCAAGUGUUCAAGUCAAUGUCGUCAAGUCGAUGUCGUCUUCGAGUUGAAGCUUUAUAACUUUUCAAUCUUAAGGUGGACAUAUAAGUCCAUUUGUACCUUAAGUUGUCCUAUUCGUGGGUUUGUCCUUAAAAGGAACUAUAAUUUUUAUUGAGAGUAAUCUCUCCGUUAGUCGGGCCACAUUGAAAGUAAUCUCUCCAAUAGUCGGGUCAUUUUGAGAAUAAUCUCUCUAGUAGUCGGGCCACAUUGAGAGUAAUCUCUCCGGUAGUCGAGCCACACUGAGAGUAAUCUCUCCGGUAGUCGGGCCACAUUGAGAGUAAUCUCUCUGAUAGUCGGGUCAUUUUUUAGAGUAAUCUCUUUGGUAGUCGAGCCACAUUAAGAGUAAUCUCUCCGGUAGUCGGGGCCAUAUUGAGAGUAAUCUCUCCGGUAGUCGAUCCACAAUGAGAGUAAUCUCUUUGAUAUUCGGGUAGAGAUGAGUACUCAUCCCCUCACACCCUAUGAUUGCCUUCUUCAUGCGUGGAUCAUCUUUUUAAACAAGAACAUAUCAUUCUUGUUUGACCUCAAAAAAAAAAAAAAAAAGACAGAAAAGGGAAAACGCAGAAAAAAGAAAAUUCACCUGUCAACGACGGUUUGGCUUGAGCACAAUGCGAAUUGAUACCGCAAUUAAAAGAGGAUGAUGCUUUAUAUAGAAAGCAAAGGUCUAUAUUGACCCAGGGUUGUUUCGAUGUGGGAUAUGUUAUUUGCAGGCAGUCUCCUAAUUGAGAUGGGUAAUGAACGAUGGUUGUGCACGUAAUCAUCGAUAUGCGGCUGGCGUAGAGUUCUCUUUUGCAUAGGAUAAGGAAUUCUACAUGCUCUUUAUUUCCAGGUAGUGACAAAUAGUGAAAAGAAAGUAUGCCGUUUGUAAACCUAUGAUAUUUUCUUGGACAAUGAAAU
Molecule: long non-coding RNA, 1548 nt
Filed under: Nicotiana tabacum (common tobacco)
Lineage: Eukaryota; Viridiplantae; Streptophyta; Magnoliopsida; Solanales; Solanaceae
Description: long non-coding RNA (NTAB_LNC010270)
Source: RNAcentral